Molecule: long non-coding RNA, 1889 nt
Organism: Raphanus sativus (radish)
Lineage: Eukaryota; Viridiplantae; Streptophyta; Magnoliopsida; Brassicales; Brassicaceae
Exons: 3
Source: RefSeq, a predicted model, not a curated record
AAUUCUCUAAGCCCCAUAUACGGUCCAGGUGAAAAACACAUGACAAACCAAUCCCCCUUCGCGAUAAAAAAAAACCCCAAUCCCCCUAAAAUUGUCCAUCGUCUUCUCAGCUUCUAACUUCGUCCAAUCUCCGUUACCCAACCUCCUCUACAGUCAAACGUUUGCUUCAAUCUCCUCUUAAUGGUUUCCUUUCACCUCCCCUCUUUCUCAUUCUUUAUAUACUGUUUUUUCUUUCUGUUCUACAAACCAAAACCCUAGAACCUGCUCUAUUUAAGCUCAAGCCAUGGCGAUCAAAACAAACGGCAAGUUCCCUGUCUCCUCUGCCAAUGAUCAAGGAGUUAUGUUCUUCAAAAUAUCUCACCAGGUCCCACGAAACCCAGUUACACUACCUAUCUGAACCCAAUAAAAAGAUCCUUAUUGGUCUGGAAAUGCUCCUCAACGAACAGGAGAAAUAUAUAUGUAAACAUGAUUGAUUUGAGAUUACUGAACUGGUCACUCCACCACCAUCUCUAAUAGCCGGAGUAGAAAAGGAUAUUGGGAGAUUAAUACAUCUAAAAUUAUGGUGGUGUUCUGUGUUGUACAUCUCAGCAUCUCGAGAUAUAUAUAUAUAUAUAUAUAUAUAUAUAUUCACUAAAAUGUCUUUGUUUGCAUGCCAAAGAGUAUUGUGUUUGUUUAUUUGCUUAUAUGGUUCAGGUGUACUAUAUUUAGCUCUGAUUUCUAUAAAAUCCUUAAGUUGUUUGGAAUUUCCUUGCAGUUCUUCAACUAAUGUUGCUCAUAUUUUGGUUAGUAUCAGGUACCUCAAUAUUGACACAUCUGGAAGGUGAGCCAGGUUCUGAUGUCUUAUCACAGCAAUAAAAAUUGCUAAAAAGAGUAGGCUUUGUAAUGCUUCCUUUCGAUCUUUAAUUACUAGAGAAGAAAGAUGGGAUUUUACAUCAUGGGUUUGUUCAGUUAAUCUAAUUGUUAUUUUGUUCAACCGUGGAUGUUAGGGUAUUCAACUAUAAUCAUUUUUAAUUAAACAAUAGUCUUGAAAUAAUUUAUCUCCUGUCUACUCUUUGCUUGAUUCCAAAAUUCAAAUUUGCGGUCUUCCAUAUGGAAUUCAUGUUGCAGUGUUGUGAUAAAUUGGUUCCAAUAUAUAUUAAAUUGUAUGGGAUCAGGCAUGUGCGGAAGAAGAGCUCAAACAGAGUCGGUGAAGCAGCAAACCAACAUGGAAAAAAAAACAUAUGGUUACGGAAAGCUUUAAAUUGAAAAAGGAAGAAAGUGUUGAUGAGAGAUUGGAUUUAGGUGACAGUGAACCAGGGUUUGAUGCUGAUCAUGAAUAUGGUGAAGGGGAGUUUGAAGAGAGAGAAUUGAAGCAGGAGGAACAUGGGUUGGUUAAUCAGAUGGAUGAAAAACUUGAGGAGGAAACAGAGGCCGAUGAAAAUGCAGGUGAGUUUACCGACGACAUUGGGAGGAGCUAGAGUGUCAAAGUAGUGAUGUGCAUGCUUAUGAUGAAAUUAAGCGUGGAGAAGCUGUUGAUGUGUAAGAAGAAAGAGAAGAACAUCAUGAUGUGCUCCAUGAAGACGCUCGCUUAAGGAGUUUGAAAUAUUUGUUAGAAGCUUGGACAAAAGUACUACGGAAGAAGUUUUGAGAAAGUGUUUGUCCUGUGGCGAAGUGACUGAACUAAAAUGAGGAUUAUAAUGAAAUGCAAGGGUUAUCAUUAGGCAAAAUGAGAUAUCCGAUAGUAAUCUUCUAUACUUAAGUAUUAGAUCGAGAGUUUGUGUAACUUUAUAGUGUACAUAAUGCUCUUGGUCAUCGUAUGUUCAACCAGUAUGUAUAAGGAUUGACCAUAUUUAGGCAAGCCUAUGCAUGGAUUGACCAUAUAUUAUCAAAUCUGAUGUUCUUUUAUUCUU